RNAcentral lists this unclassified non-coding RNA (938 nucleotides) under Hevea brasiliensis (rubber tree). The record is from RNAcentral. Lineage: Eukaryota; Viridiplantae; Streptophyta; Magnoliopsida; Malpighiales; Euphorbiaceae.
CAACUUCAUUGCUCCAAAGGGUGUGUCCACAUUAAUGUUGCCUUUCAUGGAAUAGCCAGUACCUCUCCCUCUGAUCAUGUCCCAUAGAGCAGAGCCGAAGUCCUUGGGCCUGAAGGUUAUUGGAAGAUCGAUAUAGGUGAUUCCAUUUUUUGCAAGUGUAGCUGAUUUCUCAAGCUCUGCACCACCAACAUUCACAUCGGAGAGCCAAAGAUCAUAAUCAAGGCUAUUGAGCCCCAGAUCAAAGUCGUUCUUGUUAUCCAGCUUUAACUUAAGAACUGCUACAGUUUCCUCGAAAGAGAACCUCUCAAAAUGAAUUUUCUCAACAUCAAUAUCAGGCUUGUAAGGUAUAGGAAUCUCUCCAUUUUUUUCAAGAGGAAUAGUUAUCCUACCAAAAACAGGCACAUCAACUAUGAGGUCAACCUUGAUCUUAUAUGGAAUGAUGCUUCCCGGCUUUAUAUCGUGGUAUGUAGUUCUGAUGUCAUCAUAAACCAGAUUAAGUGGUAUUUUGACGGUCUCUGAACCAUGUGCAUGGAUCGUUCCAGCAUCAGGGAUCAAUCCAGAAAGCAGUUCCCUUCCAUCACUCUCAAUUAAGUAGUUUAUGUCAAUGAGAGGAAUUGGGAUGGGGUUUGGGUUCUUCACAAGCACAUCAACAACUAUUUCAGCCUUUUCAAGAUUGAUAUGAGGAAUAUGAAUUCCAGAGACAUCUGCAGUUGGUUUUCCAAAACCUACUGUUUCCUCGAUUUUCUCACCAAUAUCCUGGAUGAAGCCCUUAACUUUAUCAAUAAAACUGCCCUUUUGCUCAUCUUUCUCCUCCUCGUCUUUGUCCUUGAAAACCCUUUCGACAAUCUCUGGAUUUUCCGAAGACGACAUACCUUUUGCUAAGAAAUUGCUGGAAAAUUUGUUGAUUUUGGACAAGAGAAGUGUAAUGUGUAGUCUGA